GAUGAACGCUGGCGGCGUGCCUAAUACAUGCAAGUCGAGCGAACAGACGAGGAGCUUGCUCCUCUGACGUUAGCGGCGGACGGGUGAGUAACACGUGGAUAACCUACCUAUAAGACUGGGAUAACUUCGGGAAACCGGAGCUAAUACCGGAUAAUAUAUUGAACCGCAUGGUUCAAUAGUGAAAGACGGUUUUGCUGUCACUUAUAGAUGGAUCCGCGCCGCAUUAGCUAGUUGGUAAGGUAACGGCUUACCAAGGCAGCGAUGCGUAGCCGACCUGAGAGGGUGAUCGGCCACACUGGAACUGAGACACGGUCCAGACUCCUACGGGAGGCAGCAGUAGGGAAUCUUCCGCAAUGGGCGAAAGCCUGACGGAGCAACGCCGCGUGAGUGAUGAAGGUCUUCGGAUCGUAAAACUCUGUUAUUAGGGAAGAACAAAUGUGUAAGUAACUAUGCACGUCUUGACGGUACCUAAUCAGAAAGCCACGGCUAACUACGUA
Molecule: ribosomal RNA, 497 nt
Filed under: uncultured bacterium
Lineage: Bacteria
Description: partial 16S ribosomal RNA
Rfam family: Bacterial small subunit ribosomal RNA
Source: RNAcentral